Molecule: transfer RNA, 73 nt
Filed under: Stegodyphus mimosarum
Lineage: Eukaryota; Metazoa; Arthropoda; Arachnida; Araneae; Eresidae
Rfam family: tRNA
About the family: Transfer RNA (tRNA) molecules are approximately 80 nucleotides in length. Their secondary structure includes four short double-helical elements and three loops (D, anti-codon, and T loops).
Source: Rfam by way of RNAcentral
GCCUCAGUGGUGUAGUGGUCAGCACACUUGACGGAUAAUCGAGAGGUCCGUGGUUCGAUUCCCGGCGAAGGCG